AGAGUUUGAUCCUGGCUCAGGAUGAACGCUAGCGACAGGCUUAACACAUGCAAGUCGAGGGGCAGCGGGGACGAAGCUUGCUUCGUCUGCCGGCGACCGGCGCACGGGUGAGUAACACGUAUGCGACCUGCCCCCCGCAGGGGGAUAACCGGGAGAAAUCCCGACUAAUACCGCGUAACGCCGCGGGGCUGCAUGGCCCCGCGGCCAAAGGAAGCGAUUCCGGCGGGGGAUGGGCAUGCGGCGCAUUAGCUAGUCGGCGGGGCAACGGCCCACCGAGGCGACGAUGCGUAGGGGUUCUGAGAGGAAGGUCCCCCACACUGGUACUGAGACACGGACCAGACUCCUACGGGAGGCAGCAGUGAGGAAUAUUGGUCAAUGGGCGGGAGCCUGAACCAGCCAAGUCGCGUGAGGGAAGACGGUCCUACGGAUUGUAAACCUCUUUUGCCGGGGAGCAACGGGGUCCUUGCGAGGGCCCGAUGAGAGUACCCGGAGAAAAAGCAUCGGCUAACUCCGUGCCAGCAGCCGCGGUAAUACGGAGGAUGCGAGCGUUAUCCGGAUUUAUUGGGUUUAAAGGGUGCGUAGGCGGGCUGUUAAGUCAGCGGUCAAAUGUCGGGGCUCAACCCCGGCCUGCCGUUGAAACUGGCGGCCUCGAGUGGGCGAGAAGUAUGCGGAAUGCGUGGUGUAGCGGUGAAAUGCAUAGAUAUCACGCAGAACUCCGAUUGCGAAGGCAGCAUACCGGCGCCCGACUGACGCUGAGGCACGAAAGCGUGGGUACCGAACAGGAUUAGAUACCCUGGUAGUCCACGCAGUAAACGAUGAAUGCUAGCUGUCCGGUUCUACGGGACUGGGUGGCACAGCGAAAGCGUUAAGCAUUCCACCUGGGGAGUACGCCGGCAACGGUGAAACUCAAAGGAAUUGACGGGGGCCCGCACAAGCGGAGGAACAUGUGGUUUAAUUCGAUGAUACGCGAGGAACCUUACCCGGGCUCAAACGCCAAAGGACAGCCGUUGAAAGGCGGCCUCCCUCCGGGGUCUUUGGCGAGGUGCUGCAUGGUUGUCGUCAGCUCGUGCCGUGAGGUGUCGGCUUAAGUGCCAUAACGAGCGCAACCCCCAUCGACAGUUGCUAACGGGUAGAGCCGAGGACUCUGUCGAGACUGCCGGCGCAAGCUGCGAGGAAGGCGGGGAUGACGUCAAAUCAGCACGGCCCUUACGUCCGGGGCGACACACGUGUUACAAUGGCCGGUACAGCGGGAUGCCAGGGCGCGAGCCCGAGCGGAACCCGAAAACCGGUCUCAGUUCGGAUUGGAGUCUGCAACCCGACUCCAUGAAGCUGGAUUCGCUAGUAAUCGCGCAUCAGCCACGGCGCGGUGAAUACGUUCCCGGGCCUUGUACUCACCGCCCGUCAAG
This 1406-nucleotide ribosomal RNA is filed under the name uncultured bacterium. RNAcentral describes it as "bacterial SSU rRNA". It matches the Rfam family "Bacterial small subunit ribosomal RNA". The record is from RNAcentral.